RNAcentral lists this ribosomal RNA (253 nucleotides) under uncultured bacterium. Its description in RNAcentral is "partial 16S ribosomal RNA". It matches the Rfam family "Bacterial small subunit ribosomal RNA", at positions 524 to 776 of the family's 1533-position model. The record is from RNAcentral.
UACGUAGGGUGCGAGCGUUGUCCGGAAUUAUUGGGCGUAAAGGGCUCGUAGGCGGUCUGUCGCGUCGGGAGUGAAAACCAGGUGCUUAACACCUGGCUUGCUUUCGAUACGGGCAGACUAGAGGUAUUCAGGGGAGAACGGAACUCCUGGUGUAGCGGUGAAAUGCGCAGAUAUCAGGAGGAACACCGGUGGCGAAGGCGGUUCUCUGGGAAUAUCCUGACGCUGAGGAGCGAAAGCGUGGGGAGCGAACAGG